CAAUAGCGUAUAUUAAAGUUGUUGCAGUUAAAAAGCUCGUAGUUGGAUUUCUGAUCGAGACAUCAGGUCGGGUCCGAGAGGAUCAUGUACUUUGAUUUUGUUUUGAUCAUCCUUGGGGAGAGCAUUUCUGGCAUUCAGUUGUCGGGAUUGGGAUCCUCAUCGUUUACUGUGAAAAAAUUAGAGUGUUCAAAGCAGGCCUCGGCCUCUGAAUACAUUAGCAUGGAAUAAUAAGAUAGGACUUUGGUGGUCUAUUUUGUUGGUUUGCACGCCAAAGUAAUGAUUAAUAGGGAUAGUUGGGGGUAUUCGUAUUCAAUUGUCAGAGGUGAAAUUCUUGGAUUUAUGGAAGACGAACUACUGCGAAAGCAUUUACCAAGGAUGUUUUCAUUGA
Molecule: ribosomal RNA, 388 nt
Filed under: uncultured eukaryote
Lineage: Eukaryota
Description: partial 18S ribosomal RNA
Rfam family: Eukaryotic small subunit ribosomal RNA
Source: RNAcentral